RNAcentral lists this ribosomal RNA (1911 nucleotides) under Triticum aestivum (bread wheat). Its description in RNAcentral is "partial small subunit ribosomal RNA". The record is from RNAcentral. Lineage: Eukaryota; Viridiplantae; Streptophyta; Magnoliopsida; Poales; Poaceae.
GAACCGCAAGUGCUACGGGCUUAUGUAUCCGUACUGAAGACAGCUGAAAGCCAGAAGGUACAGACACAGAGCGUGCAGACACAGAGCAGGGCGCUGUACGUCGCUUGAGGAAGCAACGCAAGAGACCGGAUUCCAUCCUUGGAUCCGCCAGUAACCUCGCCUGACCACUCUCGGCAACGUCGAUCCUUGGCUUGCUCCGGCCGAGCAAGCAACGCGGCGGAUGGAGUAAGUAACCGCGGAUACUUGCCGCCUCCGUGCUCCCUCCAUGGCACUUGCCGCCGUGCCGCCAUGCCCUGCACCUCAAGCAAAGUGGCGCCCCGGCCCUCCUCUAAUGCCCCGCCCACUACCGGCCACAGCCUCCUCCUCCUCUUCCUCCUCCAGUCGCCACCACGUGCGCUGCCUGCCACCUGCUCCCCGCCUCGCCGGAAGACCAUGGCGGUGACUCCGCGCGGCCGGCCGGACUCCAGCCUCGGCCACCGCCGGCCGGUCCUCCUGCUCCUCCUCUUCUUCUGCCUCCUCGCCUUCUUCCCCCGCCGCGUCGCGGCUUUCCACUCAUUCGUGGGGACGUACGGGGUGAACUACGGCCGGAUCGCCGACAACCUGCCGCCGCCGACGGAGGUGGUGAAGCUGCUCCAGAUGGCGCGGAUCAAGAACGUCCGCAUCUUCGACUCGGACCACACCGUGCUGGACGCGUUCCGCAACUCCGGGCUCAACCUCGCCAUCGCCAUCCCGAACGGCCUCGUCAAGGACAUCUCCGCCACCCCGAGCAAGGCCAUGGACUGGGUGAACGAGAACGUGCGGCCCUACUACCCGUCCACGCGCAUCGUGGCCAUCAUCGUGGGCAAUGAGAUCCUGGGCGGGCAGGACACGGGGCUCGCCGAGGCGCUCUUCGGCGCCGUCGUCAACAUCCACGACGCGCUCCGCGCGAUGCGCCUGUCCGGCAGGAUCGAGGUGAACACGCCGCACUCGGAGGCGGUGUUUGGCACCUCGUACCCGCCCUCCGCCGGCACGUUCCGGCCCGACCUCAUGCCGUACCUGAAGCCGCUCCUGGACUUCUUCUCCAAGACGGGCGCGCCCUUCUACGUGAACGCGUACCCGUUCCUGGCCUACAUGAGCGACCCGGAGCACAUCGACGUGAACUACGCGCUGAUGAAGCCCAACGCCGGCAUCCUGGACCAGAAGACCAACCUCCACUACGACAACAUGUUCGAGGCCCAGAUCGACGCCACCUACGCCGCGCUGGAGGCCGCCGGGUACAGCGACAUGGAGGUGCGCGUGUCGGAGACCGGCUGGGCGUCCGCCGGCGAUGCCACGGAGCCCGGCGCCACGCUGGAGAACGCCCGGACCUACAACUUCAACCUGCGGAAGCGGCUGUUCCUGAGGAAGGGAACGCCCUACAGGCCCAAGAGGGUGGUCAAGGCCUUCAUCUUCGCGCUCUUCAACGAGGACCUCAAGACCGGCCCCGGGAGCGAGCGCCACUUCGGGCUCUUCAAGCCCGACGGCAGCGUCUCCCUCGACCUCGGCUUCAAGGGCCUCACCUCGUCGUCCUCCUCCAUCAAGGGGUGGAAGAUCGCGCGGUACUCGGCGACGCUCCUGUCAUCUACAUUCAUUUUCCUAGCAUUAUCGACCUGAUUGAUGAUUACUGACAAAUGCAGGCAGAUUAGCAAGCCUGCGUUUACUUAGAACACCAGAACUCGCCCGCAUUCUGUAAAUUCCACCACGAUUGAAAAGAGUGAUCCUCUCAUGUACAUCAAGUCUUCUGUUCUUCAAUCUUCGUAUACUGUAAAUAAUUAAGAUGCAUUUCUGAAUGAUCAUUUGUCAAACCGCGUGCUUCUUCAGAGUUCAGGGAGCUGCUUUCACAACAUAAACUUCAAGCGCUCCUUUUUUCUUCCAUGAUAAUUUGACAUCUCC